AACGAACGCUGGCGGCAUGCCUAACACAUGCAAGUCGAACGAGAUCUUCGGGUCUAGUGGCGCACGGGUGCGUAACGCGUGGGAAUCUGCCCUUUGGUUCGGAAUAACAGUUGGAAACGACUGCUAAUACCGGAUGAUGACGAAAGUCCAAAGAUUUAUCGCCAGAGGAUGAGCCCGCGUAGGAUUAGCUAGUUGGUGUGGUGAAGGCGCACCAAGGCGACGAUCCUUAGCUGGUCUGAGAGGAUGAUCAGCCACACUGGGACUGAGACACGGCCCAGACUCCUACGGGAGGCAGCAGUGGGGAAUAUUGGACAAUGGGCGAAAGCCUGAUCUAGCAAUGCCGCGUGAGUGAUGAAGGCCUUAGGGUUGUAAAGCUCUUUUACCCGGGAUGAUAAUGACAGUACCGGGAGAAUAAGCUCCGGCUAACUCCGUGCCAGCCGCCGCCGUAA
This 449-nucleotide ribosomal RNA is filed under the name uncultured bacterium. Its description in RNAcentral is "partial 16S ribosomal RNA". It matches the Rfam family "Bacterial small subunit ribosomal RNA", at positions 29 to 523 of the family's 1533-position model. The record is from RNAcentral.